Molecule: long non-coding RNA, 759 nt
Organism: Mirounga angustirostris (Northern elephant seal)
Lineage: Eukaryota; Metazoa; Chordata; Mammalia; Carnivora; Phocidae
Exons: 2
Source: RefSeq, a predicted model, not a curated record
CUGUACUCCCGGGCAGCUAUAGGCUGCCACAGGAUGUGCUUAAGCAAACAAAACUACUUUUCCUCAUCCCCAUCCCCCAAGCCCCGCCGCAGACCUUCGCGGACCUCGGUGGAGGACUUGGGCAACUUUGCCAGGUUGCCCUGCGCUCCCAGUUCACUGUGUGGGCACGUAGAAAACCGAGGAGAAGGCCGGGGGGCAAAUUUGCAUGUAUGCAAAUUUUUAAAAAAUCAGACCUCCUAGGUAACUUUUUUUUUCCCCCUCUGAAAUGCGGUACGGCUCAAAGCAUUGUAAUCUCUCCAACGGAGCUUUCUGUGGGAAUAGAUCGUCGGUAGAGGCUUUCCUCCCUGAUGGAAAAAAGAAAAAGAAACCAAACAAACAAAAAAAACCCUUCUUCCUCCUGACCCCCAGCCCAUCUCUUCCUCCUCCUCUUCCUAACUCUAGUUUGCAGCCUGCUGCACUUGCGAAUCCUUCUCAAAAUUCCAAAAGGAAAGAUCAGGGUGAAAGGCACUGGCACACAGACAGGGGAAUCUGCACCUUGGGAGAGGUUACAUAGCCAGAGAGCCUCGGAAAAGAGGAAACUCCUGUAGGAAUGCCCACUCUGCACGUGAGUGUGAGGUGACCUACUAAGGCCACUCUCAUUCAGACUACGUUCCUCCACCGCACACACACACACACCCCCCUUCUUAAGUAAGGGGCAAGAAAAAUGUUACUGGAGAAAGCAAAAUACAGUCCUCUGAAAUAUUCUGCAUCUGUCUAAAA